This 497-nucleotide ribosomal RNA is filed under the name uncultured bacterium. RNAcentral's name for it is "partial 16S ribosomal RNA". It matches the Rfam family "Bacterial small subunit ribosomal RNA", at positions 28 to 507 of the family's 1533-position model. The record is from RNAcentral.
GGUGAACGCUGGCGGCGUGCCUAAUACAUGCAAGUCGAGCGAACGGACGAGAAGCUUGCUUCUCUGAUGUUAGCGGCGGACGGGUGAGUAACACGUGGAUAACCUACCUAUAAGACUGGGAUAACUUCGGGAAACCGGAGCUAAUACCGGAUGAUAUUUUGAACCGCAUGGUUCAAAAGUGGAAGACGGUCUUGCUGUCACUUAUAGAUGGAUCCGCGCUGCAUUAGCUAGUUGGUAAGGUAACGGCUUACCAAGGCAACGAUGCAUAGCCGACCUGAGAGGGUGAUCGGCCAUACUGGAACUGAGACACGGUCCAGACUCCUACGGGAGGCAGCAGUAGGGAAUCUUCCGCAAUGGGCGAAAGCCUGACGGAGCAACGCCGCGUGAGUGAUGAAGGUCUUCGGAUCGUAAAACUCUGUUAUUAGGGAAGAACAUAUGUGUAAGUAACUGUGCACAUCUUGACGGUACCUAAUCAGAAAGCCACGGCUAACUACGUG